ACCGCGAACACGUGUUUAACACCGUUGGGGACGGUGCGGGGGGUAACCCUCUGCCGUGUCCCAUCUCCUGCCGGCGUGUAUCUUCGGGUCACGUCGUGCGGGCUAACGAACCCCGGCGCGGAAUGCGCCAAGGAAAACAAAACGAAGCGUUUCCCCCUGGCAUCCCGUUCGCGGAGUGUGCUGGGGGAGCAGACGUCUAUCAAAUGUCAAAACGACUCUCGGCAACGGAUAUCUCGGCUCUCGCAUCGAUGAAGAACGUAGCGAAAUGCGAUACUUGGUGUGAAUUGCAGAAUCCCGUGAACCAUCGAGUCUUUGAACGCAAGUUGCGCCCGAAGCCAUUAGGCCGAGGGCACGUCUGCCUGGGCGUCACGCAUCGCGUCGCCCCC
Molecule: unclassified non-coding RNA, 386 nt
Filed under: Thymus vulgaris (common thyme)
Lineage: Eukaryota; Viridiplantae; Streptophyta; Magnoliopsida; Lamiales; Lamiaceae
Description: sequence contains 18S rRNA gene, ITS1, 5.8S rRNA gene, ITS2, 28S rRNA gene
Rfam family: 5.8S ribosomal RNA (bases 214-369)
Source: RNAcentral